AUGGACAAGAUCUUAGGAGCAUCAUUUUUAGUUCUGUGGCUUCAACUAUGCUGGGUGAGUGGCCAACAGAAGGAGAAAAGUGACCAGCAGCAGGUGAAACAAAGUCCUCAAUCUUUGAUAGUCCAGAAAGGAGGGAUUUCAAUUAUAAACUGUGCUUAUGAGAACACUGCGUUUGACUACUUUCCAUGGUACCAACAAUUCCCUGGGAAAGGCCCUGCAUUAUUGAUAGCCAUACGUCCAGAUGUGAGUGAAAAGAAAGAAGGAAGAUUCACAAUCUCCUUCAAUAAAAGUGCCAAGCAGUUCUCAUCGCAUAUCAUGGAUUCCCAGCCUGGAGACUCAGCCACCUACUUCUGUGCAGCAAGCA
This is a non-coding RNA of Homo sapiens (human), 364 nucleotides long. Lineage: Eukaryota; Metazoa; Chordata; Mammalia; Primates; Hominidae. The record is from the annotation of a RefSeq genome assembly.